This 357-nucleotide transfer-messenger RNA is filed under the name bacterium. RNAcentral's name for it is "WTBG01 sp013139225 Standard tmRNA". It matches the Rfam family "transfer-messenger RNA". From Rfam's summary of the family: Bacterial tmRNA, also known as 10Sa RNA or SsrA, is named for its dual tRNA and mRNA-like properties. Its role is to liberate the mRNA from a stalled ribosome. RNAcentral also lists the same sequence under 1 other name. The record is from RNAcentral.
GGGGGCGAAAUGGUUUCGACGGGGAUAAGUGAAGCUUAAGGGGCAUGCCGAGGUCCUACUUGCUCGUUAAACAGGUGGGAUUAAACAUAAUUGCAAACGAUUAUGAUUACGCCCUUGCUGCCUAAUCAGCAGUAAGCGUUCUUUUAGCUUUUGCCUGCGGGGCUAAAAAGGACGUCGACUCAGCGGGAUAGUCUUCACCUCAUGCUUAUGGAGAUGAAGAUGAAACUAAAUAAGCUAGCUCUUUAAGAAUCCUGCCUGUGGGAGUUUCAAGGAGCGAAACUUAAUAUACAGGCUAAUCAUGUAGAACCUUAAGUGGAGUAUUUCCGGACGCGGGUUCGACUCCCGCCGCCUCCACCA